CGAAUACACACGUGUGUAUUCCACUUCCUCUCCUUCUUAUCCACAAGUUGUUCUCUUCCUUGCUGAUUUCACUCACAGUAUGUUCUGAAGAUUGUUUCAAAGUCGCAGAUGGAGCUCUCCCUCGCUUCUUAUCGCAGCUGCGAGUAGUCUGUUCGUGUGGGUGUCGUGUGGGUGUACCACCGUUUAGUCAACCAUCCUUCUCCUGAGGGACACUUGGAUUAUUUCCAGUCUUCUGGUUUUGUAGAUAGUGCAGCAAAUUUGUUCACGUCAUUUUGUUUUCCUGAGGAAGAUUUGCCCUGAGCUAGCAUCUGUGCCAGUCUCCCUCUAUUUUGUAUGUGAGUUGCUGCCCCGGCAUGGCCGUUGAUGAGUGGUGUAGGUCUGCACCUGGGAACCAAACCCCGGCCACCGAAGUGGAGCAAGCCAAACUUAACCCCUAGGCCACGGAGCCGGCCCCUCGUUUUGAAUAUUUUGCUGGUAAUACACUCACGUGUUCAAAAUUCAAAGCCUUAAAAAUAAACAACCUUUCCUGUUCAAUAUGUAAACAAACAACCUCAUGCUCCCGACAGAAAAGCAGCAAGGACAUGAAAAGGCAAUUUGUGGAAAAAAAUGUGUUAAGAAUGUCACCCUUAGUGUUAUAAAAACUCUUCCACUGAGACCUGCUUGCCUGUCAUUUUGAGAUGUUUUUGAUGCACAGAAGUUUCAACUUUACUAAGCCGUAUUUUUCCCUGAAUGAUCUCUUCGCUGCCUGGAAAGCCAUUGCCCAUCCUGAGACGGAGCCGAGGACUGGUGUAGCUACCUGAGGGUGCAGCUCUGGGAUGCCACUUGGCCUCAGUCCCCAGCCCCUGCUCUGAACCAUCUGGCAGUUAUUCAUGGCAGGACAAGCAGGCCAAGGGGCACCAGCCUCUGGAAGUGGACCAUCCUUCUGGAGAAGAGGGCCUGGAGACCCACCCUGAGCAAUUUAUCCAGCUACUCUGAAAAAAUGGCCCUGUCAGGAGCCUUCUUUGGAGCAAAGUGUCUUUCCUCAAAAGAAACUCCAAAUGGCUCGCGGUGCACGGCAGGCUUCUGGCGUGUGCGCCUGAACAGUACUGGCAGUAAACCUUUGGAGUGAAAAGGAUGCUCUGUGGGCUUGUUUCGGGAUGCUGUAAGAAAGGCGGGAGUCUGAGAAGACAUUUCCUGCUGCACAACCAGAUUUCUGAGAAAAGGAACCAAGAAGUGGGGGGUGGGAAGGGGGGUCAGGAGUCAGGCUGAGUGCUUGGGGUCUGCCAGAAGCAAAAAGAGGCCCUGAUGGGCUGGGGAAGUGCCUGGUGGUCUCUGUGGUACUCAGUCUCACCCCAUAGAUUGUCACUCUGACCCUGGCCAGUCAAUGAACCAAUCUGGGCUGAACAGGAGAGUCUGGAAGCCUCCAUCAGACCCCUCCCACUGUUGGAAAAGCUCCGGGUGCCCGUGGCCAACUGGCAUGGAGGGGACAGCCCUGAUGGCAGAUGUCUUUCUUAUCAUACCUAAAUGGCCCAGCAGUAGUAAUGGCAUAUUAGGGCGGUGGCUCCCAAGCCAAGUGCCUGAGGGACAGUGGCACUUAUUAGCUGAAACAAGAUGUCUUCACAGAGCUCAGUCCAAAUCUUGGCUGCGUUGUCUCAAUUUGCAGGAUAACAUUCAGAGUUUGGUUUCUCCAUCUUCAGUUUUCCUCCAACUGGAUUUCAUUAAGCCAUUGUUGCCUGCCGAACUAUAAGUUGACAUUUGUGUAAACAGAGAUAAAUAGACAAUUGUGCUUUCUUGAAAGCUUGUGUUUAUGGACUGGAGCUAUUGAGAUGGUGAUUUUGUCGGGCAUCCAUAACCUGGCUGUGAGGUGGGGCAGUCAGGGGAAGCCAUCCGUCCAUCAAUCUCAAGGUUUCUCUGGCCAGGUGACAUUCAUGGUCAACCCUUUGUCUCCCUGUGACCUAAGUGAAUUGACCUAGGGGCCUGCUUUUCUCUUUGGCUGGGGUGUGUGCAAGUGGGAGGAAGGUGAUGAGCAUGAGGAUGUCAAUCAGUUCUAUACUCUGGUGUCCAGUGAGGGAAUUCAAACUGGGCAGAGCCAGGGGUGGUGGAGAGGAGAGGCAUUUGAAAGGUCGAGAUUUGCCCCUUAGAUCUAAUGAUCUCCUUCGAAUGCCCUGUAUUCAGAUCAAGCCUGGGAGUGGUGUUUCCUUGGCCUCCACCCCCAGAGCCCCUCCGUUCCUCCUCUUUCCACUUUCUUCCCUCCCUCUGGACACCCUGGCCUUUCAAACUCCUUCUUGCAGUUGAAUUUGUUUCUAGGCUGGUGGCCGUCCUGUCCCUCAGUGGUGAGUGAGCCUCCCAGCCAGGUCUGCUUGGAAAUCUUUGGGGCAGGCUCAGUCGUCGUGUGGGUCAUAAGUCCAAGCCAUUCCUUCCCUCUCCUGUGGCACUGUGAAUAGGGAGAAGGGGGCAGCUUUGAGUCCGGGGGUUGGGACAGAAGAACCGAGGGGAUGAUCUUGUACUAUGGAAAGAGACUUACUUUAGAGUCUAAAAAGAGAAACGCCAGCUCACAGCCCUCACUAGCUUCAAUGAUCAAUUGCCUCCGUCUCUAACCAGCAGAGCUGUCUGAACGUUAGGCUCCCAUAGCCUUUCCCUCCUGCUUGACUGUAAGUUGUACGAAGCAGUCUUCUCUCGCUGUGGCCUUGGGGUUAUCUCCACACCCAAGCUCUCUUUUCUAAGGAUGUUGCUCUCACCUCCCACCUUGGCUGCUGCAGGCCGGGGAAAGGGCCAUCCUGCUGAGCACACACAUCAUGGAGCCAAAUUUUCUCACUGGCAAAAUUGUUCUCAGGUCCUAAAUUGAGGAUUCACAAACUCCACUGUCCACAGAGACCCGGAACAUCAUGUAAGGAGAGAAGAGGCCGAACCCAGGAGACAUGGAAAGUGGCACUGGGCUGCAGGGUUGGGGAGCAGUGUGGAGUGGUGGGGACCACGGCUAUGGGAGAGCACGUGCUCCAUCCCAUCCACAGGGGCGACCCCCUUCUCGGCAGGAAGGGGUUGCAAUAGGGGAAUGCCAGCCCAGAGAAGCCAGUUUUUCUAUUUUCAAAUCUGGACUUUUCUGUGAACUCUCCUAAUGUUACGUGUUGGCAACAAAUUCCAAUUUAAAACAUGCUGUGGGCCAAGCAAAACAUGUGUGCUGGCCCGUUGUGGCUAGUUUGCUCCUCUGCUGUUGUGAAAUGUGGUGGAGCUGUCGUUCUGCAUGUUUGGAGAUGUGCACCAAGACUUCCGGGCCCUCAGCCCUGAACAAAUUUAGGAAUCCGUGCAUCAGGUGCUGUGCGGGCUCACCCCUGUGCUAACAAGUCGAACACCUAGCCCAUUUCCUGAUAGCUGGGUGUUUAGCCUAACUUGUCGUGGAGUAGCAUAGAUUUGCUUUUUCUCCAGGGAGGGACACAUACCCCUGUUCUUUCACUGAGCAUGGUCCUCUGGAUGGCCUCUUGGCCUCGGGCAGCCUGGCCAGGGAGGACAGGCAGUGGCCGCCCUGGGUCAGGGCGCCUUAUCCAGGCAGGUGAUGGAUGGAUGUCCAGGACAGCUUCCAGGUUUCUUGUUUGUGCAAUGCGGGGAUGUGGGGCCUCCACAGAGAGAGGGGAUACAAGAGAGUCAUUGAGUUUUGGGGGAAGAUCAUGAAAUCUCGGGGUUUGCCCUGUUUUCCCAGGCUGGAAGGAGGGGGUGCACAGCUUUGGGCCUGGGACAUGGCAUGGUGAGUAUGGGCUCAGCUUCUCCCCAUGUGUAGCCUCCAGGUGGCACUGGGAUUCUGGGCUCAGCCUGGCUCCCCAAGGACAGCCUGGCAAUGAUCGCCAAGCUCAGGGGGGACACUCACAAUGGUCUCAGGGUGGCUGGGGCUUCAGGGAUCAUCUAGUGAUGUGGAAAGAGCUUGCAUCUCAGCUCUGCACUUUAUUAGCAUGUGACCUUAGGCAAUGAUGUCACCUCCUGGGUGUCAGUCCCUUGUCUGUAGAAGGGUCUGGCCAGUUGAUCUCUAGCCUCUAAGUGGCCUCCAGGUUCUCUGACAAUGACUCUGCUGCUGGCUGCUGCCAUAGCUCAGUUUGACACAUCUUUUAGAGCAAGGAUGGGACUGUUGCUUCACUACCAGCUCCCCGGUGACUGGCAAGGCACAAGGCACAUAGCAGGUGUUUAAUAUACGUUUGUUGAAUGAAUGAGCGAGACCAAAUCCCUGGCAGCAGGGAACCAGGCAGGCAGAAGACCCCUGGGGCAAAGGAAACUCUUGCUGUACCUUCAUCCCAGCUUCUGGUGGCAGGUGAGAGGCAGGACACUGCAGGCCAAGGGCCACUCAAGCCUUGAGGCUGGAGCCCAUCUCCUAGCCUAGAAUCUUCUAUAGCCUGGCUCAUGGGUGCCGUUGGCUGGGCUGUUGGAAUCCUGCCCCCACCCCUGGUCCUGCCCCACCUUCUCGCAGAACUGCCCACAGUGACAACAUAAGUCCCCCGAUAUCUCUGAAUGCUUAAAGUUUUAAAAAUGCAGACCUUUGGAGAUGUUGUGGGGAGCAGCUGGGCUCCAGGCCAGGCCAGGCUGGCAUGUUGGAGAAUGAGUCUUCAGCAGGCCGCUCUGAGGAACCACUUCUGCUGCUGGAGGCAGGAAAGGAGCGGGGCCUAGGCCUAGACUCCUAGUUCUCGGAGGAGUUGGAGCAGAAGCAGGCGAUGGCUGUGCCCUGGCCCACUCUGGGUGGCUUUGUGGUUUGUGGCUGUAGCUGUGGUCCACGCCUGGGUUCUGGGCCAGCAGAGAUGUAUGGAGCCCCUCGUUUAUCUGUGAGACCUGUAUGGAGGGAAGGACGGUCUGGGGUGUGUGAGGAUUGGGCUGGCUGUCUAUAGGGUGACAGUAGAGCUCUGGGAUCUCAGGCAGAAAUCUCGGGGUACAUCCCCUCACUCCAGCCUCAAGCACAGUGGAGACUUCAUAGGUGCUUGCUGUCACCCUCACUGAGUGCCAAGCCCUGCUCUGGGGCAGCGAGAGGUGUCCUGGGGUGCCUCGCCAGCCCUUCCCACCCUCAUCCCCGCGUGCAAUAGGGGGAGGUGAGGGGCCCAGGCUCGGCUGUAGGGGCUUUUCUCUCCCCAUGGGUGUUGCUCCAAGAGCCCCCGAGUCAUCGGAAAGCUCCUUGAAGACUUUGGAGCUGGGGCAUACUGGAGGUGAAGCUGGAAAAUUUUCUGAAAUCUUUCACACUCUUCAGCUCUCAUUCUCCUAAAAAUACUAUUAUUAUAAACUCAUUCGAUAUGCAGAAACAAAGAGUGAUAUGAUGAACACAAACCAUUUGAGAAAUAAAAUGACAAAUCCCAUCAAAGCCCUCCGUGAGCACCUUGCUUCCCCUGCACCCCACCCCCUCCCAUGGGUAACCGCUGUCCUAUACUUGAUAUUUUUCAAUCUCAUGAAUUGCUUUAACUUUUUACUAUAUAUGAAAGUUUUCUUGAAGUGUUUACAGAGCUGUUUUGCAUGCUUUUAAACUGUAGAAAUAGUGUAAUUCUAAUUUGUAUUCUUGUGCAAUUAGUUUUUUUCCUCUUGACAUGUUUAUGGGAGUCCAGGGUGUGGACAUGUGUUACUCUGGCUCAUUUAUUUUCGACGCUGCAUAGAAUUCCAUUGCAUGACUGUGUCAUCUCUCCAAGGAGGGCUCCUCACGGCCCCCUGAGAGGGUGGCUGUGCUCACUGAGGGUACUCUCUUGUGCAAGGAUGGCUCUGGUUCUGUGGAUGCUCUCCACCUUCAUCUCCCCCACCCCUCUUUAGGGUGCCAGGGUCCUCCCCUCCCUCCCAGAACCAUUGCUUCACGAAGGAGGAAUUUGAGUGGAUUUCAGGCCACCUUGUGUUUCCCAUAAGUAACCGUUGAAAGUGAAACCCCAGCCCAAGGGGCUGCAAUUGCAACCAGCUGAGUGCAGACUGGCUGGCCUGGAAGGAAGGAGUUGUGCGCUCCAGAUGGACAUGAGUCUCCGAAAGGGACACGCCAGCAAGAUCUUCUCCAGCACCAAGGGGAGACACUUGGGGCAGCCGCAGCCCCUAGCCAAGCCCCUGCAUUGACCCUGGCUUGAGGCCCACCCACCUCUCUGUUGCUUGGCCCAGUGGCCUCCAGGGUGGGUUUUGCUGAAUGUAGGGCUGUUGUCGUUCCAGCUUUGGGAGGGGCAGUGAGGUUCUGGGACCUGCUGAAGGCAGCCUGUCCUGAGAGGCUUACAUUUCAGACCCUUGAAGAGAGAGACAGCGUGCCCCUACUCUAGUCCAGACCCCAGCACUGGAUGCCCCGCUGCACCCUGAGUGCCCGGGGCUGCAUUCUGACUUUUGGGGGCCUAGGAACUUUUGCUUUUGUGGGACUCUUCCUCCAUAAAAAAAUAUUAAAAAUCUUGCUUUAUGACUGUGCUGGUAUAAAGAGGAAUGUAAUCGAGGCUGGAUUUAUUAUUAUAUAUUCAUUAUAUUAUUAUAUUUGUUUUUAUCUUCUCAUUUAAAAAGAAAUGAAAACAUUUUGGGGAGCCCCUUAAAGAACCGUGGGCCCUGGGCCCUGUGCCUGCUGGGGCUGAUGGAGAAGAUGGCCCUAAUGGCUGCCACGCAGCCUCUCACACCCUCCCUUUACCGAGAUUGCGACCCCUCUCUCCUCCAGGACACCUUCCCUGCUUGAUUGAAGGGGAGGUGGACAUGGCCUCGCUCAGCCUCAGACUCCGUGGGCCUCUCCUCCCAUCACAGGGGCCUGGGGGCCAAGUGAAUGGAGGCUUUGCGUGCAUGGCCUGCCUCCUGGAGGUGGAGGGCAGCCGGAGUUGCUCUGCACGGGGCCCAGCUUGGAGGCACGGGGCACAUCCUUCACGGGGCCAUUGUUCCGUGUUAGGUGGGUGGUGGGGAGCUGUCCCUGGAGGACCCCGCACGUUUCCAGAUCACCCUGUGCCAGUAUUGUUAGAGGACUGUGGCCUGUGGGACGCGCCCCAGUGCUUGUCCAACAUGAAGGUAUGAUCCCUCCAUGUGCCAUCAAUGGUCCUCUCUCCCAGGGGGUUAUUUUGAGGGAGGCCCUGUGUCUGUCUUGGAGAUGAGGGAAUGGGGCAAUUACAGUACUGAGGAAGGGGCUGCCUUAGUCAGCUCGGGCUGCCACAGCAAAGUACCACUGACUAGGUGGCUUAAACAGCAGAACUGUAUUUUCUCCUGAUUCUAGAAGCUAGCAGUCCAAGAUCAAGGUGCCACCCAAGAGGUUUGGUUUCUCUGAGGCCUCUCUCCUUGGCUUGCAGGUGGCCAGCCUCGUGCUGCCUCUUCUCAUGGUCACCUCUCUGUGCGUGUGCAUCCCUGGUGACUCUCUGGGUCCAAAGCUCUUCUCACAAGGACACCAGUCGGAUUGGGUUAGGCCCCACCCAAAGGGCCGCAUUUUAGCUUAAUUACCUUUUUAAAGACCCUGUCUUCAAAUCCAGUCAUUUUCUAAGGUGGUGGGGGUUAGGGCUCCAACGUAUGAAUUUUAGGGGACCCAAUUCAGCCCGUAACAAGGGUGAUGGAGGCCACAUGUGGGGCCGCACAGGAUUGCACAAGGGCACCACCCUGAAAGAGGUGCUAUUCAUAUCAUAGGUACUUUUAUUAUUUGGAAAUCUUUUUCGUAUUUUUAUAACAAUUUUGUUGACUCCAAAGGUGGGCAAUUUGUGCAUUUCUUAUGGCAGACUUCCUGCAGAUGGCAGUAUAAAGUUCUUAUUCUAACACUAUCUUAGGAUAAUUUCCUGACUGAAGGAAAGAAAGUAUCUCAAGAAAGGAACAUCUUUUUCUACACAGGCGCCAUAUAUUUGGCCUGGCAGUGGCUGGCCACGUGACUGUCCAGGGCUCAGGUCUGGCUUGGAUGGGGCAUGUGACCUGGGUUAGCAGGGUCACGUGACUGUCAUAAUUUGGUGGACUGAGUUUAGGGAGGGGGGUCAUGUGACUCCAACAGCCUUGCAGACUGGGCUAGUCAUGUGACUAUGGCCUCUCUUGGUCUUGUAAUGACCAUGUUCCUUCAAACAUUGAUAGAACCUACUCUUAAAGCUUGCCCAGUCUAUGAAGGAAAUAGGACGAGUGGUCUGUUUCUGUUCUGAUCACCCAGAAACAGCCUGGGAGCCCUAAGGCCAAAGCUGGCAUGACCACCCCAUCUUCCUCCCUACCCAAGACACUUCUGGAACCCACGACCUCUGCUAGAGAGCUCUAUCUCGUUGCCUAUCUCAUUGGUCUGUGCACAGGGCCAUCUGGGUUCCUGAUAUCCCCAAAUUCAGGGGCCGGCUGGCACAGGGGAGGUUGGGUGAAGAGAAGUAAGAGGGAGGGGAGUCAGUGAGGCCAGGAGAGUUGCAGAGGGGCCACUGGGGCCAUGGGGGUCAGGGCUCCUGGCUGGGGCUGAGAAGGGGACUCUGCCUUUCCUCCCAGAGCUGACCUGCAGCCUGUGGGUGAGCACUGGGAGCUAAGAGCAUGGCAGUGUCCUCGUGGCUUGUCUGUUUCCCCUGUGAGACCCAUGGGGGCUUCUGAGAACUAGGCCCUGUAGUGGGAGAGCAGAGAGCUAACAAGGCUCCUCAGCCACCUCAGAUUGUCCCAGAGGAGCACAUGAAUCACUUAGGACCCACGACCUAGAAACAGAGAGAUGCCAUUCCCCUGCAGUCUCCCAGGGCUGAAUUUUUAACUCCCAAGUCAUGGUUCCCCAGAUGCCAAAGUUCUGACUCAAUCAAAUUUAGGCUGAAAUGCAUGCUCGUGCCAGGCUCCCUUGCCCAGCCCACCACCUUCAGUCCCCACAGCUUGCCUGUGAGGCAAAUACUGUCACUCUCGUUUCAGGGAUAUGCAAACACAGGCCUGGGUUAAGUGACUUGCCCCAAGUCCUGUGGCUGGUAAGUGGCAAAGCAAGAUUGGAACCAAGCCCAUGUGACUUGAAAACUGAGAGUAAGGCUGUUUGCUUGGCUCUGCACAGGGAGUACACAAUGAGUGUGGCUGCCCGAGCUUGUCGCUCUGUCCUGUGGCUACUUGCUUCACACCCUAGACCCUGCUGGCCCUGCUGGGCUGCAGGAUGGUAGAUGAGAGCUUCCCCUGACCUCUCCUCUACUUCUGCCCCCUCCCACUGUUCCAGAAGGCAGGACACUGACGUUCUCAGUUCCCAGACUGGCAGGCAGACAGCAUCCAAGUAUUGAGCACAUUUUUGGGGGGGACACUUUUGAAGGCCUUCCCACAUUGCCAUCCAACUAGCAGACAAGGACAGCUGCGGUCACCAUGUUCCAGAAGCCCGGAGAUGUGCGGCAGCUGGGCCUCUCCAUCCUUCCCUCCCUCCCUCCCCCGCUGUUUCUCUCGCUACACUGGGCCAUAGGUGGGCGCAGCAGGCCUGGAACACUUUUGUGUUGUCUUUGCUAAAGAGGGGCCGAGGCUGUUUGAAGGUGAACUGUGGAAAAUGGUCUUGCUGUGCUUCAGAUCAUGUCUUCGCCCCUUCCUGACACUGUUCUGGGAGUGGAGACAGGAGUCUUUGCUGGAGAUUCAGCCCUGCCUGCGAGGGUAGGGGAGGGCAGGCCACCCAGCUCACCUCUGGGUCCGUUGGGGCCGCAGCAGGUGUGUGAGAAUAUUUGCCAGUGUGUGCUUGUGUAUGUGUCUGUGCAGGUCUGUAUUUAUACAUGUGUUUGUGCGCAUAUGCCCCUCUGUGUCUACACAUGUAUUUGUGCCUGUGCAUAUGUGUACAUAUGCACGAUUCAUGUCUGGUACGUGUUAACACGCAAGUUUGUGUCUGGAAUCAUGUGUGUUUGCAUGUGUGUUUACCUGCAUGUCUGUGCACGUGUGUGUGUUUAUGCCUGUGUGUUUGUGUGUGUUUGUGUCUGUGCACAUGUGUGCACUCCAGACAAAUGGCAGGAUGCACACUGCGCAUGAGGUGGCUUAGGGUAGAGUCUCGGGCCUUGAAUCAGGCUUCCAUAUGGCCCCAGAUGUGACCCUUCACCCUCCCCUGUGGCUGUCAAGGUCUCUGCCCCCGGAGACCAGAGAACUUUCCUUUGGAACCAAGUGGGCCUCGCUCCCGGGGCAGGGCGGAAACUACUUCCAAAAGCAAACAGGAUCAUCAUCAUGCUGGGGAGCCUGGAGCCCGUGGGACCUUGUUUAAUUCUGAAGGAAUGUGCUCGGUUCCCGCCCAGCAGAGCAGGCCCUGGCCUGACAGGGAGCCGUGAAGACCUGGCCGGCAGUGGCUGCCUUUGGAAGAGGGAGCUUGGCUGGCCAGGGACAAACCAUUCCAGGGACAGAAAAUCACACCAACUCGUGUGACUGGAGUGGGCUAGGGCUGACAGAGCCCUUCCUCAGAGCCUCCGGGCCGGUGUGCCCAGCUCUGUGCCGGGGAGAAGGGGGCAACAAGCAGGGAAGAGGAAGUGGCCCAGAUAUGACCCCAGAGGAGCUUGGAAUCUAUCAGGGAAGGGCAAAUCCCCAACGGGGGACAAGAAGGAGAGUGUAUCAUGGUGACGGGGCGUGGGGGAAGCAUAUAGUGCAGAGAGGAGCGAUCCCUGGGGACUGUGGCCAUCAGGAAAGGCUUCUUGGAGGAGGCGGAGGUUUAACUGGGCCCCGAAGCGGGGGGAAGAUUUGGAGGGAAACAGGACAUUCUGAGAAGAGGAGAAGUUUUGUAAAAGAUGCAGAUGUGGAAAAGGGUAUGGCCUUUACGGAAUGACAGUGCCAACGCUGGUCCAGCGGGAAUUUGGGAAGGGAGAAGAGGGAGAUGAAGCAGUGAGCUCCUGUCCAAGGUGGCUUUGAAUGCCCGCCAGAGUUCAUCCUUAGGCAGUGGGGAGCUAUUGAAGAUCCUUGGGGUGGGGGGUGACCUGAUACAAGUGAGAGUUUUAGGGUUUGGGGCCCAGGUGAUCAGGUCAUAAGGUGGGUGAGGACAGAGGCUGCGAGACCAGAAGAGAGUGGAGGCGGAGGUGAUUGGGGUGAGGAAGCCUGGGGCUAUGAGUGGGUAAGUGGCUGAGGCCUGGGGAGCGAAGGGGGCAGAACUGAAUCGACUUCGCAUUUUGUGACACUCGUCCAUUCUUGAGGUCUUGUUUCUGUGUUUGGAUUCUGCUGACCUGGGAACACUGCCAGCCUGAGACAGCUCCUCAACCACAGGCCAGUGGAAGCAGAUGGGCCUGGGGUACAGAGGCUAGGACUCAACCCAGCCCAGGGCCAGCCCUUCCCUUGCCACCCUGCCCAGAGUGGCCCUGGCCUCUGCAGUGGGCCUCUGGGUAUCUCAUCUACUGGUACCCAAAAGUGGUAUUUGUCACAGGGAGUGGGUGUUACCCCAAGCGACAGAGCGGGAGACCAAGGGAGACCUUGAGUGUGAACACAGCCAGUCUAGCUGCCGUCUCAGAGGAUGAGCCAUCAGACAUUGCCACAGGGAAGGGGUGGGAAGUGGUCAUCCUCGGGACUCCAAGCUGACUUUUUUGACCUCGUUAUGGAGAUGAUGGGCUGGACUAACUGCAGGAUGGAGUGCUUGUGCAGACCAGAUCACGGAGGAUGGAAGCUGUGGUGUGAGUGACUCUGGCUCCUAGCGACAGCGCUGGAGGGACAGGACAGAGAGCUGCCCUCAGACCUCGGGGCGCCAUCCCCCGUGACCUCGCUGCCCCCUCCCUCUCCCCAGCGAGUGCAAACACAGCUGGUCACGGACUUUUGCUGCGGGAGGUGUUUUCCCCGAGCUGAUAGGAUCAACCUGUUCUUUACCUCAAACCUGUUUUUAAAAGGACUUUCCUGUUUUUUUUUUCUUUCUUUAAUUGCAGAAUAUUUUUAUAACAUACUUUGAACAGAAGAAACAGAACCUAGCAAAACAGUUAUUAAAGAGCUGUAAAAUGCUUUCCUCACACUUGCCCUCUUAUUUCUUCCUCCUUUGGGUGGGUCGGGCUGUAGGUUGGGGCUGCGGUGGGUGAACCUAAGUGACCGAGCUACGAAUUAGUGACAAGGUGCCCCACGUCCACCCAGAGCUCGGACACCCCCUGCCCAACCCUUCAGGCAAGUUCUUGCUCAGCCAAUUUUGUUAGUUUAUAAGCUGCAGGGCACUCAGUUCUCAGGUCCUGGGGCCACUGGGCCGGGCUGAUUUCACGGCAGGUGCAGGUGGCCACAGUUGGUGG
RNAcentral lists this long non-coding RNA (12032 nucleotides) under Equus caballus (horse). RNAcentral's name for it is "lncRNA (ENSECAG00000048673.1)". The record is from RNAcentral. Lineage: Eukaryota; Metazoa; Chordata; Mammalia; Perissodactyla; Equidae.